RNAcentral lists this ribosomal RNA (257 nucleotides) under uncultured bacterium. Its description in RNAcentral is "partial 16S ribosomal RNA". It matches the Rfam family "Bacterial small subunit ribosomal RNA", at positions 793 to 1050 of the family's 1533-position model. The record is from RNAcentral.
GUCCACGCCGUAAACGAUGAGAGCUAGUUGUCUGGCAGCAUGCUGUUAGGUGACGCAGCUAACGCAUUAAGCUCUCCGCCUGGGGAGUACGGCCGCAAGGUUAAAACUCAAAGAAAUUGACGGGGGCCCGCACAAGCGGUGGAGCAUGUGGUUUAAUUCGAAGCAACGCGCAGAACCUUACCUACCCUUGACAUUUGGUGCUACAUCCAGAGAUGGAUGGUCCUCUUCGGAGGCGCCAGGACAGGUGCUGCAUGGCU